AGGAAAAAGCCUCUGUCUUCCAUUGAGGAAAAAGUUCCAAUCUCUCAAUCACACAAGUCACAACCACAACCCUUGCCGGCCAAAUCCCCCUACACCGUCCUCCACCGCACCCGCCCCUGAUCUUCUCCAUAGACCCUUCUAUAGUGAAGCACCAUGAACAACAAGAACUCAAGGAAGUAAUCGGCUCCAUUCUGUUAAUGUUUUCUCCUCCAUGAAGGAAACAACAUAUCUUUUCAUAUUGCUGGAAGAAUUCUGGAGGUGAUUCCCAAGCACUUUUACGCCACGAGAAAUUCUAGUUCUAUGUAUUUUGCUCUUUAAGUUUUUUUUUUUUUUAUAUUAUUGGGUUUUCUUUAGCUUUGUUAGGUAAUUCAUAUUGAAAAAUGUUGCAAUGUUUGGUUUUAUUUUAUUGAUAUAGUUAUUGGUUAUAUUCUAUAAUUUUAUGAAGUUUUAAUUUUCAGCGUUUGCCUGAAAAAUAAAUGUCGGUUCAGUGUAUGGUAGCAAUUAACUGGAGAUGGUGGAACGGAAAGGGGAGGAGAAAGAGAAAGAGCACUCCUUUUUAAAAAAAAAAAGGUAUGUAUGGCACUUCAUGCUCACAAAGGACAGUUACACUCGUUGUGACUAUAGACAUUUGAUUUUUGAUCAUCCCCAAGAUUUUUUAUAUUUUAGUACAUAAAUAUUUUAUUAGGCCUAA
RNAcentral lists this long non-coding RNA (691 nucleotides) under Nicotiana tabacum (common tobacco). RNAcentral describes it as "long non-coding RNA (NTAB_LNC003629)". Lineage: Eukaryota; Viridiplantae; Streptophyta; Magnoliopsida; Solanales; Solanaceae. The record is from RNAcentral.